Long non-coding RNA from Sapajus apella (tufted capuchin), 2419 nucleotides. RefSeq lists it as uncharacterized. The record is from RefSeq and is a predicted model, not a curated record. The transcript is spliced from 2 exons. Lineage: Eukaryota; Metazoa; Chordata; Mammalia; Primates; Cebidae.
UUUGUAUAUAUUAAUGCUUACUCAUAUAUUCAUAUAAUAAUUUGUUUACUUAAAUUAUAUAUAUCUACAUAUAAUUGCCCGUAACUAAAGGACUUGGAAGCCAGACUGAAAGACAUCACAAGUAGUAAGUAAAAUAAAGAACAGGACAUUGGCAAGAGGUUUGAGAGCACUGACGAAAUGAUAUUUACAGCUCCAGAGAGAAAGAUAAACGACAGUACAUUGGAAUAAUAAUCAAAAAGGCAAUAGACUUUUUAAUAACACUGGAAGCUAAAAACAAUGUGAAAUACCUUCAAAAUUCUGAGAAAUGAUAAUUCCAAACUAGAAUUGUGUAUUCAAAUUAUCAAUCAAGUGUAAGGUAGAACAUGUACAUUCUCAAAAAAUUGCUCUACCAAUGCACCUUUUCUCAGGAAGCUACUGGAGGAAGUACACCAACAAAAAAAGGAAACAAUAGAAGGAAUACAUGGAUUGUUUUAGAGAAACAGGAAAUUGAAGAGAAAAAGAAGCAAGGCAGUCACUGGAUGUCAGCAGGGCAGCAGGCAAGGAGUUUAAUCCCGUCAAAUAGGUGCAGGGUGAUAGAAGUAUCCAGGAUUAAUGCCUCCAUGGAAAACAAGAAGCAGAUGGAUUGCCGAAUAUAUUUGAUCCUGUUGAAGUGAUUGACUUUUCCUUUAGAGAACCUGAGAAUGCGUAACACCAGGGAAAUCAACAAGUUGUAAAAUAAAGGAAGUGUCACAGUACACUACAUUGCUUAGCUAUGAAUAGUAUUUUCAUUAGCAUAAUUAUGUCAGCACUGAAUAUCGAACUACCUAAAAGUUGCUACUAGUUGAAUUGGAAAAAGUGAGGGAGAAAAAAGUGUGUGUGUGUGUGUGUGUGUGUGGGUGUGUGUGUGUGUGUGUGUGUGUGUGUGUGUGUGUUUGUGCAGAAGCAAGUCUAUCUUUUAAUGUGAGUCCUCCUCCUAUAUUCCUUUCAGUUACCUUAACCCCCUAAACCGUCUGUUCUUCCCUUAAUUUUGUUAAAAUCAUUCGUAAUAUAACUUUCCGAAGAUAAGGAUAGGGUAAAAGGGAAUUAAAAAUAAUAACAUCUUUUAAGAAAUAUUGAAUAACAAAACAAGUUUUAAUACUGGAAUGGAUGCUAAGAAGACAAUUGCAGGGAUUUUUCCUCUAUGGCACUUCAAGACCUUUAUAUAACAAACUUGGGAAUAUUACGCCUCAAGCCCUCAUAACAUUUCAUUCCAUGGCCAAAUAGCAUUAACAGCAUCCAAUGUCCAGUGCUCUGCUCCACAUACGAUGCCGAGAAAGGCCUAACAGUGUGCAAGUCGGUCACCAACUUAAAAGUAAGGAUAUAAACAAGUUCUAUUCUUAGCCCUUGUAACUCUCAGAGCUUUUUACUUUGAUGUUUGUUGUUAGAUGGUUGAUAGUUUAUUUUCUCAUUAUUUUAAUUGUUUGCAUCAUUUUUAAAAGGAUUGUCAGAGAGAGCUUGCCGAAAUACAUGACAUUUCAAUCAUGAAGGAAUCAUACUAUGGUAUCCCAGAUCUGAAUGUAGAAAGUGUAUUAUAAUGCUAUCAUUUGAGGAUUUGGGUCAGCUCUCCUGGGAGCUCUGAAUUUGAUAUUCAUUUCCUUUCUCAGCUGCAUUUUCUUCACUAAAAAACAGUGCAGUGAAGCAUAUAGGACAGAUGUUGUGUAUGAGAAAGAAAAUGAAAAACAAACACAACUGUGCAUUGGGGUGCAUGUGGGAGGAGGUAUAAUAGAAUUCAAUAUGGUUAGGUCUCCAGAACAUCCCAGCCAAGGAUAACAUUCAUCCUUGAGGCCAGUAACCUUAUUGCUAAAACUGCCUGCCUAAAUAUGAUUUUUUGUAAAAAUUUUUUGUUUUAAAAAAAAAACAGGGGCUUGUGGUGACCAAAAAAAAAAAAAAAAAAAAAGGAAGAAGAAGAAGAUGAAGCCAAAAGUCUAGGCUAGAGUUACCACAUGCUAAUUGAUUUGUAUGUCAGGGACUGUGCAAUUAGACUUGAAGCUACUUUCUGGAAAUCUACAAAAAAAAAAAAAAAAAAGAAAAAAAUUACAUUGGUGCUAAUUAUCAUUACCCUUGGUUGGAGACAUAUAUGAUUAAAAAGAAUUUAAGGACAGUGAUAAUAAAUAAUAAAUGAUCCAUAAAUUAGAUCAGCUGAUGAUUAAGAAAAGAAAAAAUUACUCUUUUAAUCUGUGUGUGUGCUUGUUAAAUGGUGCAGGAUGCAGAGAGCACCUGCCUGCCUUUUCCAUGCCCUGGACCUGCUGUGCUUUUGAAACCUAUGGAUAAGUUAAAUGUGUUCCAAGUAGCCCAUGGAGUCCAUUUCAUCUUUAUAAAUAGGGGAAAAAUCCCCACACACUUAAAUAGGCAUGGGAACAAUGUAACUUGGCUAAAGAAGCAAAAACCAAUUGGUGAUUUU